RNAcentral lists this ribosomal RNA (476 nucleotides) under uncultured bacterium. RNAcentral's name for it is "bacterial SSU rRNA". It matches the Rfam family "Bacterial small subunit ribosomal RNA", at positions 32 to 517 of the family's 1533-position model. The record is from RNAcentral.
AAUCAACGCUGGCGGCGUGCCUCAGACAUGCAAGUCGAACGAUUAAAGCUCCCUUCGGGGAGUGCAUAGAGUGGCGCACGGGUGAGUAACACGUAAGUAAUCUACCCUCGGGUGGGGAAUAACGUCCGGAAACGGACGCUAAUACCGCAUAAUGCAGCGGCACCGCAAGGUGACAGUUGUUAAAGGAGCAAUCCGCCUGGGGAGGAGCUUGCGGCAGAUUAGCUUGUUGGAAGGUAACGGCUUACCAAGGCUACGAUCUGUAUCCGGUCUAAGAGGACGGUCGGACACACUGACACUGAAUAACGGGUCAGACUCCUACGGGAGGCAGCAGUCGGGAAUUUUGGGCAAUGGGGGAAACCCUGACCCAGCAACGCCGCGUGAAGGAUGAAGUAUUUCGGUAUGUAAACUUCGAAAGAAUAGGAAGAAUUAAUGACGGUACUAUUUAUAAGGUCCGGCUAACUACGUGCCAGCCGCCG